GGCAGAGUUGAUGGGGGAGCAGCAGCAGUCAACGCACUGCAGUGAAGACACCGCAGCACUGGAGGGUGCAGAUGCCAUCAAGAAUGGCCUAGGGGUCCAUGUGUGUGCGUGUGUGGGAAACGCAGCAAGCCAGUUGGUUGUAUUUAGACCUCAUCCCUUCACCCCAAUGGCUGACUGACAGUAGACCUGGGAACCUGACAGGUAUCACAUGGAUUGUUUCAUCUGCUGCUCCAUGACAAUAUUGUGACAUCAGAAAUAUGUGAGGACGACACAUUGGUAGAGGUACUCAGAUAGUGAUUACUUAGGAGAAAUAAAUAGAGAAUAUCAGAAUCUCCAGGAGGAAAGUUACUACAACACAACAUUAAAUCAGGACAUCUAAAUGAUCAGACCUGUAGGUACGAGUGCUAAGGCCAAAUGUUGAAGGAGCUCAUUGGAAACAGACUAUCACCUACACACUACAUGAAGAUCUGGGGGUUACAGUGGAUCACAAAUUGAAUGAGUCAACAAUGUGAUGCAGUUGCAAAAAAAGGCAUUCUGUGGU
Molecule: long non-coding RNA, 541 nt
Organism: Mauremys reevesii (Reeves's turtle)
Lineage: Eukaryota; Metazoa; Chordata; Testudines; Geoemydidae
Exons: 4
Source: RefSeq, a predicted model, not a curated record